CAGCAUAGUAAACAAUUAAAGGAACUUGUUCCUUAAUUCGACAACACCCGCUACUCGCUUUAGAUCAAAGCCUAUAUACCUUCGUUUCAUUAUCUUCACUAGACGAAUAAUAAAACAAUUUUCUUAAAACGUCAGAUCAAGGUGUAGCCCAUUCCAAAGAGACAAUGAGUUACAUUAAAUAUAAUUUAAGGAUUUGAAUUUAACAAACCAAUCAAAUAGGAUUUAACAGUAUUAAUAAAUCAUGAUUUUAUUAAGAACAACAAUAUAUAAUGUGC
Molecule: ribosomal RNA, 275 nt
Filed under: Loxosceles rufescens
Lineage: Eukaryota; Metazoa; Arthropoda; Arachnida; Araneae; Sicariidae
Description: partial 12S ribosomal RNA
Source: RNAcentral